GUGAAUUGUGUGGAUGGAGCGGCGGUAGAUCGGGGGGGGACGUCGUUGUCCUGAAGCAGUGGGCGUAAAGCGAGGGUAGGCGGCCCUGUAAGGCCGUUGUGAAAUGCAAAGGCGCAAGCAUGGAAAGCCGAUGGAUACUGCAGGGCGAGAGUCCGGAAGAGGCGAGUGGAAUUCCUGGUGGAGCGGUGGAAUGCGCAGAUAUCAGGAGGAACACCAAUAGCGAAGGCAGCUCGCUGGGACGGUACUGACGCUAAGGCGCGAAAGCGUGGGGAGCGAACAGGAUUAGAUACCCUGGUAGUC
RNAcentral lists this ribosomal RNA (300 nucleotides) under uncultured Methanomassiliicoccus sp. RNAcentral describes it as "bacterial SSU rRNA". It matches the Rfam family "Bacterial small subunit ribosomal RNA", at positions 496 to 795 of the family's 1533-position model. Lineage: Archaea; Methanobacteriati; Thermoplasmatota; Thermoplasmata; Methanomassiliicoccales; Methanomassiliicoccaceae. The record is from RNAcentral.